UACGUAGGGUGCAAGCGUUAAUCGGAACUACUGGGCGUAAAGCGUGCGCAGGCGGUUAUAUAAGACAGAUGUGAAAUCCCCGGGCUCAACCUGGGAACUGCAUUUGUGACUGUAUAGCUAGAGUACGGCAGAGGGGGAUGGAAUUCCGCGUGUAGCAGUGAAAUGCGUAGAUAUGCGGAGGAACACCGAUGGCGAAGGCAAUCCCCUGGGCCUGUACUGACGCUCAUGCACGAAAGCGUGGGGAGCAAACAGG
RNAcentral lists this ribosomal RNA (253 nucleotides) under uncultured bacterium. Its description in RNAcentral is "partial 16S ribosomal RNA". It matches the Rfam family "Bacterial small subunit ribosomal RNA", at positions 524 to 776 of the family's 1533-position model. The record is from RNAcentral.